Molecule: ribosomal RNA, 843 nt
Filed under: Diaporthe rudis
Lineage: Eukaryota; Fungi; Ascomycota; Sordariomycetes; Diaporthales; Diaporthaceae
Description: partial large subunit ribosomal RNA
Rfam family: Eukaryotic large subunit ribosomal RNA
Source: RNAcentral
CAUAUCAAUAAGCGGAGGAAAAGAAACCAACAGGGAUUGCCCUAGUAACGGCGAGUGAAGCGGCAACAGCUCAAAUUUGAAAUCUGGCCUCGGCCCGAGUUGUAAUUUGCAGAGGAUGUUUCUGGCGCGGUGCCUUCCGAGUUCCCUGGAACGGGACGCCAAAGAGGGUGAGAGCCCCGUAUGGUCGGACACCAAGCCUGUGUGAAACUCCUUCGACGAGUCGAGUAGUUUGGGAAUGCUGCUCUAAAUGGGAGGUAAAUCUCUUCUAAAGCUAAAUACCGGCCAGAGACCGAUAGCGCACAAGUAGAGUGAUCGAAAGAUGAAAAGCACCUUGAAAAGGGGGUUAAAUAGUACGUGAAAUUGUUGAAAGGGAAGCACUUAUGACCAGACUUGGGCCGGGCGGCUCAUCAGGGGUUCUCCCCUGUGCACUCCGCCCGGCACAGGCCAGCAUCGGUUCUCGUGGGGGGAUAAGACCGUCAGGAACGUAGCACCCUCCGGGGUGUGUUAUAGCCUGGCGGACGAUACCCUCGUGGGGACCGAGGUUCGCGCUCCGCAAGGAUGCUGGCGUAAUGGUCAUCAGUGACCCGUCUUGAAACACGGACCAAGGAGUCGUCCAUUAGAGCGAGCGUUUGGGUGUAAAACCCGCACGCGUAAUGAAAGUGAACGCAGGUGAGAGCUUCGGCGCAUCAUCGACCGAUCCUGAUGUUCUCGGAAGGAUUUGAGUAAGAGUUUUAACGGACGGACCCGAAAGACAGUGAACUAUGCUUGUAUAGGGUGAAGCCAGAGGAAACUCUGGUGGAGGCUCGCAGCGGUUCUGACGUGCAAAUCGAUCGUCAAAUAUGA